Molecule: ribosomal RNA, 253 nt
Filed under: Gemmatimonadaceae bacterium
Lineage: Bacteria; Pseudomonadati; Gemmatimonadota; Gemmatimonadia; Gemmatimonadales; Gemmatimonadaceae
Also listed under: 1 other name
Description: partial 16S ribosomal RNA
Rfam family: Bacterial small subunit ribosomal RNA
Source: RNAcentral
UACGGGGGGUGCGAGCGUUGUCCGGAAUCACUGGGCGUAAAGGGCGCGUAGGUGGUUUGAUAAGGCUGUGGUGAAAGCCCGGGGCUCAACCCCGGGUCUGCCGUGGCGACUGUCAGACUGGAGGGCUCGAGAGGCAGACGGAAUUCCGGGUGUAGCGGUGGAAUGCGUAGAGAUCCGGAAGAAGACCGGUGGCGAAGGCGGUCUGCUGGCGAGUACCUGACACUGAUGCGCGACAGCGUGGGGAGCAAACAGG